This 508-nucleotide ribosomal RNA is filed under the name Priestia flexa. RNAcentral describes it as "bacterial SSU rRNA". It matches the Rfam family "Bacterial small subunit ribosomal RNA", at positions 555 to 1060 of the family's 1533-position model. The record is from RNAcentral. Lineage: Bacteria; Bacillati; Bacillota; Bacilli; Caryophanales; Bacillaceae.
UGGGCGUAAGCGCGCGCAGGCGGUUUCUUAAGUCUGAUGUGAAAGCCCACGGCUCAACCGUGGAGGGUCAUUGGAAACUGGGGAACUUGAGUGCCUAAGAGAAAAGCGGAAUUCCACGUGUAGCGGUGAAAUGCGUAGAGAUGUGGAGGAACACCAGUGGCGAAGGCGGCUUUUUGGUCUGUAACUGACGCUGAGGCGCGAAAGCGUGGGGAGCAAACAGGAUUAGAUACCCUGGUAGUCCACGCCGUAAACGAUGAGUGCUAAGUGUUAGAGGGUUUCCGCCCUUUAGUGCUGCAGCUAACGCAUUAAGCACUCCGCCUGGGGAGUACGGUCGCAAGACUGAAACUCAAAGGAAUUGACGGGGGCCCGCACAAGCGGUGGAGCAUGUGGUUUAAUUCUUAUUAACGCGAAGAACCUUACCAGGUCUUGACAGCGUCUGACAACUCUAGAGAUAGAGCGUUCCCCUUCGGGGGACAGAGUGACAGGUGGUGCAUGGUUGUCGUCAGCU